This 449-nucleotide ribosomal RNA is filed under the name uncultured bacterium. Its description in RNAcentral is "partial 16S ribosomal RNA". It matches the Rfam family "Bacterial small subunit ribosomal RNA", at positions 354 to 796 of the family's 1533-position model. The record is from RNAcentral.
GUCGAGAAUCUUUCACAAUGGGGGCAACCCUGAUGGAGCGACGCCGCGUGGAGGAUAAGGUCUUCGGAUUGUAAACUCCUGUCAUGCGUGAACAAGGUUGCUUGGUUAAUACCUGGGCAAAUUGAUGGUAACGCAAGAGGAAGAGACGGCUAACUCUGUGCCAGCAGCCGCGGUAAUACAGAGGUCUCAAGCGUUGUUCGGAAUCACUGGGCGUAAAGGGUGCGUAGGUGGCGUGGUAAGUCAGAUGUGAAAGCCCGGGGCUCAACCUCGGAACUGGAUCCGAUACUGCCAUGCUAGAGUACUGGAGAGGUGACUAGAAUUCUCGGUGUAGCAGUGAAAUGCGUAGAUAUCGAGAGGAAUACCAAAGGCGUAGGCAGGUCACUGGACAGUUACUGACACUGAGGCACGAAGGCCAGGGGAGCGAACGGGAUUAGAAACCCCGGUAGUCC